Cryptotermes secundus is the source of this 153-nucleotide long non-coding RNA. RefSeq lists it as uncharacterized. The record is from RefSeq and is a predicted model, not a curated record. NCBI's taxonomy places the organism in Eukaryota, Metazoa, Arthropoda, Insecta, Blattodea, Kalotermitidae. The transcript is spliced from 2 exons.
UGCAAGUUAUUGUCGGUACAGGUGUACGUCUUUUUAGUGACGUUUUGUGCAUUGUUUUUUUAUUUAAUUUUUAGCCCAUUGUUACUUCUGUCGUCACAUUGGAUACAGGUUAUUUGAAAUAAGGUCACGAUGAGAUCCGAAGACAAGAAUGAC